RNAcentral lists this long non-coding RNA (325 nucleotides) under Gossypium barbadense (sea-island cotton). RNAcentral describes it as "long non-coding RNA (GBAR_LNC013979)". Lineage: Eukaryota; Viridiplantae; Streptophyta; Magnoliopsida; Malvales; Malvaceae. The record is from RNAcentral.
AGCUUGAAGUUUUCGUAUAGGGUUUAAUUUAUGCAUGUAAGUGAAUUCAAGCCCCGUUUUUAAUGAUUUUUAUGUUUUUGAGUUCGUUUUAGCUUAAUCUAACUAGUCCAUGGGUUAAUUUUCAAAAUUGUUAAAGGUUGAGGGAAUUUCCAUGGAUUUUUUUGAAUGACUUUUGAUGUUAUUUGAUAGAUUAUGAAUCUUUUUUGAAAAAUAAACAUGUUUUGUUAAGUGAUUUUUUGUGAAAUUACAUUUAGGGAUUAAAUUGUUAAAAGUAUAAAUUCAUGGGUUUUAUUAUGAAAUUUUGGUAAUAAUGGGUUGUUUCAAA